AUUGAACGCUGGCGGCAGGCCUAACACAUGCAAGUCGAGCGGAUGAAGGGAGCUUGCUCCUGGAUUCAGCGGCGGACGGGUGAGUAAUGCCUAGGAAUCUGCCUGGUAGUGGGGGAUAACGUCCGGAAACGGGCGCUAAUACCGCAUACGUCCUGAGGGAGAACGUGGGGGAUCUUCGGACCUCACGCUAUCAGAUGAGCCUAGGUCGGUUUAGCUAGUUGGUGGGGUAAAGGCCUACCAAGGCGGCGAUCCGUAACUGAUCUGAGAGGAUGAUCAGUCACCCUGGAAGUGAGCCGGGCACCAGGGGCCUACGGGAGGGAGCAGUGGGGUAUCUUGGACAAUGGGCGGGAACCUUAUCCAACCGGGCGGAGUGUGUGAAGAAGAUCUCCGGAUUGGAAAGCACGGUAUGUGGGGGGGAAGCGCAUUAGGUUGAUACCUAGCGUUAUUGACGGUACUGGGUAAAGAAGCACCGGCUAACUACGUG
RNAcentral lists this ribosomal RNA (484 nucleotides) under uncultured bacterium. Its description in RNAcentral is "partial 16S ribosomal RNA". It matches the Rfam family "Bacterial small subunit ribosomal RNA", at positions 29 to 507 of the family's 1533-position model. The record is from RNAcentral.